RNAcentral lists this ribosomal RNA (301 nucleotides) under uncultured bacterium. RNAcentral describes it as "partial 16S ribosomal RNA". It matches the Rfam family "Bacterial small subunit ribosomal RNA", at positions 509 to 807 of the family's 1533-position model. The record is from RNAcentral.
CAGUAGCCGCGGGAAUACAGAGGGUGCGAGCGUUAAUCGGAUUUACUGGGCGUAAAGCGUGCGUAGGCGGCUUCUUAAGUCGGAUGUGAAAUCCCUGAGCUUAACUUAGGAAUUGCAUUCGAUACUGGGAAGCUAGAGUAUGGGAGAGGAUGGUAGAAUUCCAGGUGUAGCGGUGAAAUGCGUAGAGAUCUGGAGGAAUACCGAUGGCGAAGGCAGCCAUCUGGCCUAAUACUGACGCUGAGGUACGAAAGCAUGGGGAGCAAACAGGAUUAGAUACCCGUGUAGUCCCUGUCUCUUAUAC